Molecule: long non-coding RNA, 2480 nt
Filed under: Nicotiana benthamiana
Lineage: Eukaryota; Viridiplantae; Streptophyta; Magnoliopsida; Solanales; Solanaceae
Description: long non-coding RNA (NBEN_LNC039217)
Source: RNAcentral
CUUUUCUCUAUAUUGUUCUUGUUCUUGUUCUUAUAUUAUUUCAUAACAUUUUCUUGAUUUUGACAAAAGGUUCAAAACCAUGUUUCUUGUGUCUUUGAGAGCCACGUUAUAUUAACUGAAAUAUUCACCAACUUAAUUACCAAAUCAAUUUAUGACUGAUAUAAUAUGAAAGAUUACAUUCCAAAAUAUGCAUAAAAAACAUUUAUACGUAUCCAUACAUACUUGCGAAAAUUAUGUACAUUGUCCUGGAUACAUGUUUACAAGUACAAUAAUAUUGAAUUACAAUACAGAGAAAAGGAGAGAUACAUACUAGUUGUGGUUGUCAUGAGAAUAAUAGUGAAAGAUCAAACAAAAAUUUAAGCAAUGCCAUGUUAGGAAUAAUAAUUCACGUAUUAUGAAUAUUUUUGUGUGGACAUCUUAUUGCUUUUUUAAGGUUGUAGUUUAUAUGCUUACCUAUAGUUAAACGAGUUCUCUAGCAUGAAUUAUAAUUGUUUCAUUUUUAUUAUUAUUGUUCUAACUUGUUACAAGGUCAGCCUCCAUGUUAAAAUUUUGCAAGAUUCAGUUGACUCUCUUGCUUGCCUCCAGGAAAUGAAUCGCAUUCAAAUAGUUCUCUAAAUAAUUAGAGCAAGCUAGAUAGUUUGGCUAGCAAAUAAAUUAUGGUAAAAUUUGUUUCCAAGUUGACCCAAUGAAGAAAGUUGGCCUAAGUUUAUAAUCGAUGUUUUUGGAAAAUGUAUGUGAGAAUUUAAGAUGAAUAGAUUCAUAGUAUUUUGCAUUAAAAUAUCUGUAAUCUUCUAUUAUUGAAGAUGAAUAAUAAUAUUUCUCCUUAAUAUUCAAUGUGACUGGCCAUAUGAAAUGUAUAUUAACGAACAUCAGUAGUUUAAUCUAUAUGUAAAUUAGUUGGUUCUUUUGGUGUUUAGGAAUCUUUUCCGGCAUGGGAGUGAAAUGAAUCUAAAUUGAGCAGAAUGAAUAUUGAGGGCUCCAUCCAAUUUACUUGGAAUUGAUGUGAAGUUGCUGGAAUCGUAGGUUUGGAGAGGGGUUGGGUUUUGAAUUUUGUGCAUUAUAACACAUUUUGGGAAAUAGAUGAUUGGACCAUUGAGGUUGUGUAGCAAGGUUGGCUCACCCUAUAAAUUCAUCACUUUCAGGACUAUGUGUACAUAGUUGGUGAGAUGUAUUGCUAUGAGCGAUUUACUGAUAGUGGUGGCCGAUUUACUAAUCUAUAGUUGGAGGCUUAAUUUCUAAGCAUGGGCUGAAGAAUUUCAUCCAUCUAAUACAAUGGCAGACCUAUAUGCUUGUACAAGUGUGUCCAAUUGAAUACAAUUUGUCAAAAUCUUUUACUAACUUUAUGUGUAAAUUAUUGUUAAACCAUGAAAAAAUUGUUUAACAGAUGUUGAACCCGCUUGACAUUGGCAAAAAGAAACUUUUGGUUCAAUAUUUUCUCUUUGCCAAUGUCAAGCUGGUUCAUGAUAUGCCCAGGGACUUGAUAACAUUUUUGCCAACUCCAAUGCAUUUAUGGUGGCGCGAUGAACGGAAAUUUCAAUUGAGAAGAUAUUCUUGGUUCAAAAGGUAACAUCCUAAGAGUAUUUGCUCUUCGACAUGCCAAAACAUAAGUGCUAUGCAAGGAAGGUGAUUCUGUUGUAGCCAUGCACUGCAUUGGAGCUGCUUCUGGGGUCAAGCUUGUCUCAUCAAGAGAUGACUAUUGACUCGUGAUUUGAUCUAGUUUCGAUUGUUCCAAAUGGGUGACUGCUAAAUGAUUUUCUUAUUCCGCCGAAUCAUUUUUCCGGCUUCUAGAGAUAGACUUAUGACCAUACAACAACAACAACCCAGUAUAAUCCCACUUGGUUGGAAGUGGUUGCUUACCAUCAGAGCAACCCCUCUUGUCUUAUGACCAUGACCAUGCCUUCCCAUAUUUCUUUGUUCUUGCAACACUUCGCUUCUACUGCAGAAUUUGGGAAUGAGGCGUAGUUAUUGUCGAUUCGUUUUGAAAUUAUCUGGCUAAAGUGGAGUCAUCUGCGAAUUAUGUACUGAGCCUUACAGGCUCUAGAUUAAAAUUGUCCUGUCCCUCACAGAACUGUUGCCCACUAUGACUCAUUUCUCAGCUUUCAUUUGAUGUUUGUUGAAACUGCUGCCAAGUUGUACGUAAUGACACUUGAGAGAAUGGAAAUGCCAAAGAUGUCAAUUCUCAACUUUCUAUGUAUAUGACAUGAAUAUAUAAUUGGUCGUCCAUGUGCUUGUCAGCUGCUACAAUUUCGAUUUGUCGUGGUAUUGUUAAAAUUAAACUUCACUUAGGUUAACCAACUCGAUAGUUUUACGUCUUUCCAGUUUUUAAUAUGAGAUUUUAUUCGUACAUCUAACUUCUUUAGUAAUAUAGCUAAUUGUUGGUUAUUCGUAUGUUAUGGAAAAUCAUCGUGGCUAAAGUGUUUAACCACGAAAAUUCCAUAUUUAGUUAUGAUGUUCUUUAUUUUGCCUACUAAUUUAUGUCA